Molecule: non-coding RNA, 83 nt
Filed under: Gordonia polyisoprenivorans
Lineage: Bacteria; Bacillati; Actinomycetota; Actinomycetes; Mycobacteriales; Gordoniaceae
Also listed under: 1 other name
Description: ZTP sequence
Rfam family: ZMP/ZTP riboswitch aptamer (pfl RNA motif)
About the family: Previously known as pfl RNA. ZMP is also known as AICAR.
Source: RNAcentral
AGGGCAGGUCGUAACUGGCGCUGGGGUGGAGUACCACCGGGGAGCGGCCUCCGGAGUGUGUGUCGUGCGCCUGGGCAUUGACG